CCUACGGGAGGCUGCAGUGAGGAAUAUUGGUCAAUGGGCGCGAGCCUGAACCAGCCAAGUCGCGUGAGGGAAGACGGUCCUAUGGAUUGUCAACCUCUUUUGUCGGGGAGCAAAAGACGCCACGCGUGGCGUUUCGAGAGUACCCGAUGAAAAAGCAUCGGCUAACUCCGUGCCAGCAGCCGCGGAAAUCCGGGGGAUGCGAGCGUUAUCCGGUUUUUUGGGGUUUAAAGGGUGCGCAGGCGGAAGAUAAAGUCAUCAGUAAGAUUGAGAGGCUCAACCUCUUCGAGCCGUUGAAACUGGGUUUCUGGAGUGAGUUAGAGGUAGGCGGAAUGCGUGGUGUAGCGGUGAAAUGCAUAGAUAUCACGCAGAACUCCGAUUGCGAAGGCAGCAUACCGGCGCUCAACUGACGCUCAUGCACGAAAGUGUGGGUAUCGAACAGGAUUAGAUACCCCUGUAGUC
RNAcentral lists this ribosomal RNA (459 nucleotides) under uncultured bacterium. Its description in RNAcentral is "partial 16S ribosomal RNA". It matches the Rfam family "Bacterial small subunit ribosomal RNA", at positions 338 to 795 of the family's 1533-position model. The record is from RNAcentral.